CUUGGUCAUUUAGAGGAAGUAAAAGUCGUAACAAGGUUUCCGUAGGUGAACCUGCGGAAGGAUCAUUCAUAAUAAGUGUUUUAUGGCACUUUUUUAAAUCCAUAUCCACCUUGUGUGCAAUGUCAGGGUUGGUCUCUUGAAAAAGAGAUCAGCCCCAAACAUCAACCCAAUCUUAACUCUUUGUCUGAAAAAUAUUAUAAAUAAAACAAUUCAAAAUACAACUUUCAACAACGGAUCUCUUGGCUCUCGCAUCGAUGAAGAACGCAGCGAAAUGCGAUACGUAAUGUGAAUUGCAGAAUUCAGUGAAUCAUCGAAUCUUUGAACGCAUAUUGCGCUCUUUGGUAUUCCGAAGAGCAUGCUUGUUUGAGUAUCAGUAAACACCUCAAAGCCUUUUUUUGUUAAGAGGCCUUGGACUUGAGCAAUCCCAACACUUUUCCUCCAAGAAAAGUGGCGGGUUGCUUGAAAUGCAGGUGCAGCUGGACAUUCUCCUGAGCUAAAAGCAUAUUCAUUUAGUCCCGUCAAACGGAUUAUUACUUUUGCUGCAGCUAACAUAAAGGGAGUUUGACCAUUUUGGCUGACUGAUGCAGGAUUUUCACAAGAGUCUUCAAAAGCUUUUGUUAAACUCGAUCUCAAAUCAAGUAAGACUACCCGCUGAACUUAAGCAUAUCAAUAAGCGGAGGA
RNAcentral lists this ribosomal RNA (681 nucleotides) under uncultured Mortierella. RNAcentral describes it as "eukaryotic LSU rRNA". The stretch from base 220 to 373 matches the Rfam family "5.8S ribosomal RNA". The record is from RNAcentral. Lineage: Eukaryota; Fungi; Mortierellomycota; Mortierellomycetes; Mortierellales; Mortierellaceae.